This 199-nucleotide non-coding RNA is filed under the name Leisingera methylohalidivorans. The record is from RNAcentral. Lineage: Bacteria; Pseudomonadati; Pseudomonadota; Alphaproteobacteria; Rhodobacterales; Roseobacteraceae.
CAAUACCGCGGAUAGCAAGGUGCCGUCCUUCGGGGCGGAGAAUUGGGAAGCUGGUGAAACUCCGGCACUGCCCCCGCAACGGUGACCCCGGGCAAGGCAUGGCAAUGACCACUGAGGCAGGUGCCUCGGGAAGGUGCCAGGUCCCGCCGCCUAAAGGCCCCGGGACAGUCCGGAAACCAGCCUUGCCCUGAAAAACGUC